GUAACCUGCCUCAAAGAGGGGGAUAGCCUCCCGAAAGGGAGAUUAAUACCGCAUAACAUUAGUUUUUCGCAUGAAGAACUAAUUAAAGGAGUAAUCCGCUUUGAGAUGGACCCGCGGCGCAUUAGCUAGUUGGUGAGGUAAAGGCUCACCAAGGCGACGAUGCGUAGCCGACCUGAGAGGGUGAUCGGCCACAUUGGAACUGAGACACGGUCCAGACUCCUACGGGAGGCAGCAGUGGGGAAUAUUGCACAAUGGGCGAAAGCCUGAUGCAGCAACGCCGCGUGAGUGAUGAAGGCCUUCGGGUUGUAAAACUCUGUCUUUUGGGACGAUAAUGACGGUACCAAAGGAGGAAGCCACGGCUAACUACGUGCCAGCAGCCGCGGUAAUACGUAGGUGGCAAGCGUUGUCCGGAUUUACUGGGCGUAAAGGAUGCGUAGGCGGAUAUUUAAGUGAGAUGUGAAAUUCCCGGGCUUAACUUGGGAGCUGCAUUUCAAACUGGAAGACUAGAGUGCAGGAGAGGAAAGUGGAAUUCCCAGUGUAGCGGUGAAAUGCGUAGAGAUUGGGAGGAACACCAGUGGCGAAGGCGGCUUUCUGGACUGUAACUGACGCUGAGGCACGAAAGUGUGGGGAGCAAACAGGAUUAGAUACCCUGGUAGUCCA
RNAcentral lists this ribosomal RNA (660 nucleotides) under uncultured Bacillota bacterium. Its description in RNAcentral is "bacterial SSU rRNA". It matches the Rfam family "Bacterial small subunit ribosomal RNA", at positions 121 to 797 of the family's 1533-position model. The record is from RNAcentral. Lineage: Bacteria; Bacillati; Bacillota.